This 564-nucleotide ribosomal RNA is filed under the name Triticum aestivum (bread wheat). Its description in RNAcentral is "partial small subunit ribosomal RNA". Lineage: Eukaryota; Viridiplantae; Streptophyta; Magnoliopsida; Poales; Poaceae. The record is from RNAcentral.
AUGGCUGAGGGUUCAAGAUCGCAGAAGAAACAUGAGAAAGAGUUGGCGGACGAGUUGUUGGCGCGGCUUACCUUGCAGGAGGAGGAGGAGGAGGAUUUCAUCUGGGAGGAAGAACUGCCGGACAUGAUGGAACCAGCGAAGUGGCUUGCGAUUGCGAGAGUCCACACAUCACGGACGUUUAGUCCAAACGCGCUGUAUGGUGACAUGAGGGCGGCCUGGAACCCUGCAAAACAGGUUGUGUGGAGGAAGGUUGGGGAAAACCUAUUCACAGCGCAGUUUGGAUGCUUAGGGGACUGGAAGAAGGCAAUGAUGGAGGGAUCGUGGCUGUUUAGGGAGCAAGCUAUAAUCAUGGAGGAGUACGACGGAUUCAAAAACCCUGAUACCUUCAAGUUGGACAAGCUGACGGUUUGGGCCCAAAUCCAUCGCCUCUCGGACAAAUUUUUGAUUGAGCCAGCAGUCAAAGGUCUGGCGUCGCGCAUUGGGGAGUUAGAAGAGGUCCAACUAAAGCUCCAGGCGGGUUUUUUUUGGAGAGUUCGUAAGAGUAAAAGUGAAGAUGGACAUUAA